GAUAGAGGUCGCGGAGAUUAAGAGUAACGGUCAAAUACGCGUGGGGAGCGCGGCCGUGAAAGGAUGAUCCGCCGAAGCUUUCCGGAAUCCCAAACCGGCAUGCUGGGACGGUGCAAUAAGAUGCAUCGGACUGUCACGAAAGUGGAGCGCUAUCAU
RNAcentral lists this non-coding RNA (156 nucleotides) under bovine gut metagenome. RNAcentral's name for it is "Lysine riboswitch". It matches the Rfam family "Lysine riboswitch aptamer". From Rfam's summary of the family: Riboswitches are metabolite binding domains within certain messenger RNAs that serve as precision sensors for their corresponding targets. Allosteric rearrangement of mRNA structure is mediated by ligand binding, and this results in modulation of gene expression. This family includes riboswitches that sense lysine in a number of genes involved in lysine metabolism, including lysC. The record is from RNAcentral.